RNAcentral lists this transfer RNA (87 nucleotides) under Candidatus Wildermuthbacteria bacterium. RNAcentral's name for it is "tRNA-Ser". It matches the Rfam family "tRNA". Rfam says of the family: Transfer RNA (tRNA) molecules are approximately 80 nucleotides in length. Their secondary structure includes four short double-helical elements and three loops (D, anti-codon, and T loops). The record is from RNAcentral. Lineage: Bacteria; Candidatus Wildermuthiibacteriota.
GGAGGAGUACCCAAGCGGUUUACGGGAGCACGCUGCUAAUGUGCCAAAGGAGAAAUCCUUUCGUGGGUUCGAAUCCCACCUCCUCCG